GAUAGCCACAGCAGCAAUCCUUGCUCCAUUGUCGAUCCAGAGAGUGAUCUCAUCUUUCCUCAGCCCUCUCACUUCUUCAAGACCCUGCAUAGAAGUGCACAAAUAAGCACUUGAAUUAAAUCAAGAACCCAACUAGAAGAAGAGAAAACUGUUAGAUUAGUUUCAAUAACAAGCAUAUCAGAUAUACCUUCAGAAGGUCUAUCUUUCUUCCUGCUCUUGACAGUUGCGAGGU
Molecule: long non-coding RNA, 232 nt
Filed under: Elaeis guineensis (African oil palm)
Lineage: Eukaryota; Viridiplantae; Streptophyta; Magnoliopsida; Arecales; Arecaceae
Description: long non-coding RNA (EGUI_LNC055750)
Source: RNAcentral